Molecule: long non-coding RNA, 8454 nt
Organism: Columba livia (rock pigeon)
Lineage: Eukaryota; Metazoa; Chordata; Aves; Columbiformes; Columbidae
Exons: 6
Source: RefSeq, a predicted model, not a curated record
GGGAACUGCUUGUAGGUGGGAUCCUGCCAAAGGCUGCCAAGCUCUGGGUAGUGGAGUUGCUGCCAGCAGAGGAGAGGUGGUGAGCAAAGCUGUCGGUGCUGGGUUUGCCUUGCAGGAGAAGGGGCUUGUGAUGUAGCUUCAGUUGGGUUUGUGUUUUGAAUUAAGGGUUGGAAGUAGAUGAGAAGACACGGUGUUACCCAGUUUCUGAGAGCCCUCAGGAUGCCAGGCUUGUGAGGUGCUGGGGGGGCUCCUGCUGGGCUGCUGCUUGUUGCCCUCAAGCCUGCCAAAAUCCCUUUGAAAGCACUGACCAUUGCUGCUCUUGGCUGUAAGGCAAAAAUUCCUUUAUGUGUUCUUGACAGCUUUUAGUAGCUUGUUUGAUAAAUCAGAUAAAAAACAAACAAAAAAAGUGCGGCUAGAAAUUUUUCCUUCCCCCUUAUUUGCAUAAUAAUUAACACAAUGGUAAGUCAAUUCAAGUGUAGCGAAUAAACCCCCUAAUUGUCCAUAAUUUCAUAACUAUUGUUAGAGGAAAGUGGAGUGUAAGUUCAAAAUAUUUACUUGCCAGAGAGAACAGUGUUAUUUCAGGUUGGGAUACCAGGCAAGGUCCUUAAAUAGCAAUCAAAUGCACUAUAUUUGAUUAAGUGGUUGCUACUUCCAGAUCUAUGCUUUUGCCUCUUCCUUCCUUCUCCUGCCUGUGCUGUUGUGGUGUGAUUGUCCAAAUCCAGUCCUGACAAAAUCAUCCAGGUUAACAGAAACCCUACAGUUAAAGGUCUUGCAGCUCACUGGGAUCAUUUUGCCAAGAAAGCAAGUGCAGCUGCCCUUGAUGCUGGCACAACUAUGUGUAGGAGUUUGUGAUGGGGUAGGGAGCUGCAGCCUCACAACCUGCUUCAGGUGAAGCUGGAAUGAUUUUUCUCAUUGUGCCUUAGGGUUUUCUGUGCUAGUCUCACAGACUCUAUUUGGCUCCCAUAUGCAGUUUUGUUGCCAGGAAUCAUAUUUUUGUGUUGGGGCCCAGACAAAUAAGAGACUCGGCUAAAGAUCAGCACCGUUGAUAUCUCAGCUGUUGUACAGUUUGUGCAGGAAGAAACUGUUUCAUAUUCAGUUUUUAUGCCAAUAUAUCUGUUUCAGAUACAAUGAUGUAAGUUUCCUCCACCUGGGGUGGGGGAGGACGGGAAGAAAGGUUAAAUCUAACUUAUUCCUAUCUGCUUGAAAUUAUAUAGACAAAAAAAAUCUGCCUUGUAGUGCACUCACAGCAAGAUAUGUUAUUCUCAGUAUAGGUAUCCACAUAACAGUGUAAGUGAACUUUAUUUAACUGAUGUAGUUAAAGAAUAAAGAUGGUUGAUGUAAUCACAGAGGAAAGAAACAUGUCACGCAGUUGUGAUAGUUGUUCAUGUGAACAGAUAUGGCAUAAAUAAAUGCAAGUAGAAAAGAUACAGGUAUGGUCCCUUUAAGGGUGAUAAAGUUACCAAACACCUCUUAAAUAUCUUUGAACUGAACUGCUGUACAAAAGCUUCAGUAAAAGUAGUGAACUCUGUUCCAUUUCUGAUGAAGCAGUUGUAGAUGCCUGAUCCCAAGGGACAACUCCUGGGCUGACCUCAGCUGUGAACCUUCCCGCAGCCUACGUGCAGCACCUAAAUUCCUGAGAGGGGAUUUCCUACUGACCUUAAUGGCUCUUUGCUCAGGGCACAAGUUGUUCAGUUGUCCUAUAAUGAGGCUCCUAAAUCCUCCUAUUGACAAUACAGGGAGUGUAGGUGCCUAAUGCAGAAUUCCCUGCAGGCCGUGGGCUGGGACACCAAGUGUUGUAGCCCAUCAGUCUCUCACUGGGCUUGGGCCAAAAACUGCUAAUCCAACACCAACAGUAGUUCAUCUGCUCUGUUUUCUUUCCUGUUCUUGCUUUAAAUAGUAAUGAUGAAUCUGAUUAGCUGCAAGACAGCAGAUGCUAUUGUAAUAUAAGAUUCGAAUAGCAGACAUGAGAACAGACUCUAGUCUUGGUUUAAAUGACAUAUGUUAUUUAUUGUUUAAUGUUUUCCUGUGCAAUGGAAGCAGUUUUCUGCUCUUUGAGAAACUCCUUAUAGAAUAAUAUGUACAAAAUCAGGGCCAUUAUUAUUUUAUGCUUAUGUAUAAGUCUAAGAAAAUAAAACUGCUGUAUCUAAAAGAGCAGCAUAUAUUUUGAAACAUGAUACUGAUCACAGAAGGGUUAAGUGAUAAGCUGAUAGAACUGAUCUGUUUCUGUCAUCUCACCUCGGUAAAAUAAUCCAACAUGAUACUUACGGUUAAAGGUCAACAAAAGAAGUGUGUAAAACUCUGUUACUUCUGGUUAUGUAUAUGGCAUAAGAAUACAGGGUACAAUUCACUACACCGAAACCCAUAAUAGUUUACCAGUUUUAUUCUGACAAAAGCUCUAAGUGGCUUGCACUUACUGAGAGCUAUCAAAAAGGAGUUUAGUUUUGGCAGGUAUUAUUUUAUAUGUUGUAGCCCUAACAAGAUAUACAAAUUAUAUAUAAAUAGAAAACUGCAGUGUUAAAUAAAAAUAAAAACCCAACCCCUACUUGUUUAUGUUGAAGUUCAUUGGCACCUUAGCUGUAUGUAACUGUGAUAACUGCAUGAAUAAGAAAUCAAAGUUGACAGGUUUGCAAAUCUAGUGAAUGGAAAGGCCACUGAUGGAUGUCACCUGAGCAGAACACACUUGGACUGGUGCCACUCCUCAGCUUCCUCUUGUGACUUAACUUGUCUUGGUAGGAACACAUGGGGAUUCCCCGUGAGUACCACAGCCUGCCCCAUGAUUCAGAAAGAUGGUGGUCCCCACAUGUGAUGGGAUGCCUCUGUGAGGAGAGUCAGAGCACACGUCAGGUCAAGAUGACUGCAGAGAUAGUUGUUUUGCCUUGGCAGACACUGCUGGUAGCUGCUCUGGGAAGACAAGUCUGAGUAGGUACAAGCCUAUGGAGAGGCAAAUCCCAUUCUCCUAGAAGCAGAGGUCCUUACCAAAGGCAGGCCACAAACCUGGCUGUUUCCUUCCUUGCCACCCUGAUACCAUUUAGCGGAGCAGCUUUGGAGACCGUCCUCCUCAGACAGCCUCCAACUCAAGAUUUAGCCACGAAGCAGCAUAUAAUCAAGAAAGCAACACCGGCAAUCUUUAGCGUAGGAAUGCGACUCCAGUGCUGAUGGAGCAUUUGCCAUCUAAUUUCAGUAACUUCUUUCAACCAAUAGAAAAAUCUCUGACAGGCUUGGCUGCCAAGUAUUACAGGCUUUGAAGUCUGUUGGCAGGUAAAAGCUGCAUGUCAGUGACUUAAAAAAAACAAACAUCAAAAGGUAUGUCAGGGAAUGCUGUUGCAAGGGCUGGAAAUCUAAAAGAAAAUCCUCAGAGAUAAUAUUAAAGAACUUCAAAGAUCGCUCUCUGGAUACUCACAUCAACUAUUUCAGUUAUACAGGCAUUCUUAGGAACCUUUUUCUUUAUGUGAAGAACCUUAACAUACCAUAGGAAAGGAAUGGAAUACCUGUUUCUCAGGUGUCUUGUACGAAUAUGCUUGUUCAUUGCUCCUGCAACUACUGAAACAUUACCCAAAGCAGACCAACAGGGACUUAGGCUGGUUUAACUGCUGUGACAGCAGAAGGGAUAUGCUCAUUAAAUACACCUUUGAUAUUCUAUAAAAUCAAAGUUAUGAAAGCAAAGAGGGUGAUGCUGUUUCACCAGUGAUAAGCCCCUACUGUGCAAUGUUCACUUUGACUGCGGUGAGUCCACAGACAGAGUCACCUCUAAUAUGUACAUGAAAUUUGGGAAUGAAGAUGAGAUGAACACAGAUCAAGAAAAUAUUAUAAGAGAAAACUAACUGUAGGAUUUAAAUCAAUUCUCAAGACUACAGCAAAUACAUAUAUUGCACGCCACCAAGAGUACAACAUUUGUGUGGAUUACUUUCUUUAGCACUCGCUUUUCUUACAACGUGAAGCGGCAGGAUGAUACAGUUUGCUUAGCAGCAGGAGCUGUGAAGGACCUCAACAUACCAAGUGAUGGAAUCUCCAGACCUACUGGCAGCCCAAAGCCAAGAGCUGUGACAGAAAGCAUACAAAUCUAUUCUUCAAAAGUCACUAAGUUGGCAGUGUGAAGGAACAAGUGAAAAACUUAUUCAAUAAUGCUAUUUGAUAUCAUAUGUGACCUGUUAUUAGUGUGUAAGAGCAGACCAUUAGGCUCCUAGAAUGUUCAGUGUCUCUGACAUGGUUAAUCAGAAUGGCUGCUAUAUUAAUCAACAACUUGUGAAACAAUGGGUGGAGAGAGGAUUUCAGUUUUGGGAACCCCUUUGAGUUACCACCUUCUGUCAUUCCUUAACUGAUCACCAAAAGGUGCCAAGAUCAAACUGAGCUGUGAUUCGCUUCAGGAAAAAAAAUGAACAAGCUAAACAGGAACACGGAGCUUCAGUUACCAUUUUUCUACCCACUCAGUCCAAACAAGAUUGUCCAACAGUAUUGACUCACAAAAGGAAUUCAGCAUUUUAAGGAUCAAUAUGGACAGCUCAGUGAAGACAUCUCUCUGUAAACCAGUCAAAACCAGAAACCAGCAAACAGGAGAAGCAAAUGAAAACAGUAAGUAAAAUAAAUGUAAUUCUUAAAACCAAUCAGAGGUUUGCUCUCAUCUGAAAUAUUAGGAGGGGUUUUGGGACCAACAGAGUAUGAGUGAUUAUAAUACUUAAGGGCAACAAAAAAUAGAUGUCAAAUACUGUACUUUAGAACUUAGUGCAUAAUGUUUGAAAUUAGAGUAAGAUCCACUAUGAAAGCAAAUGUGUGGAAUCUAUACUGUCUUUUAGAGUAUCUGAUACUAUGUACAGACAGAAGACCAGAUAAUUUGAGUCUGCUCUAAUAAUGGUAAUUCCUAUGUACUUCCACACUUUCACCUGGAAUUUUGAAUUUAUGAGCUGUGCUUAUAAGAAAUGAUCUGUUGUUUUGUAUUUUGGAAAGGUAUGAGGUAUUAAGCAAAGGAGUGUUUUUACAGAGGAUAGAUCAGAGUCACAUUAAAAAAUCAGGUGUACAGAGCAAAAAGUAUGAUCAGAAAUCAAGGACAUGCAGAAAGGAGACUUGUGUGUAGCAGUUAAGCUCUUGUGGGCUAUGGUGUCAAUUAACAAAGAUUAGGACAAGUACUCCUGUCCCCAUACAGUGGGGAAGUAAGGCAGUAAUAGCACAGAAAGUUUGCAAGCAUCAAUAUAUUUAAAAGUCAAUGAUCUGUACACCCUAAGCUCUCUAAGCAUUUUUUUUUUUUUAUCAUUCAAGCAUUUUUUUAAUCAUCUUCUCCCCACGUUAUUCUGAAAUUUUACUUUCUGCUCAGAAAGACUAUCUUCCCACAUCUUAAGUUCCUGUAACAACCCAGUAAUCUACAGGAUAUGCAGGAGGUGGAUAAGAAAAGGGCAAGAAGAGAAAACAGGAGGUACAAAGAAAUGGAAGCAUGUCUUCUCUCUGUUCUGCAGAUCAAAGAGAGUUUAUGUCCGUUUCACCCUGUAGGCCCCACUCCAAAGAUCAAACCUGUGUUAUAAUCAGCAUGUUUCUUGGAGGUGGAGGCUUAUGGGGUUUGAGUGGCUGAUAUUAUAUCCACAUUACUUCACCCACACUGGAGUUUCAAGUUCUAUGAUGUGACUAAAAAUAUGAUUCCAUUUGGUUGAUAUUAGCUGUAUUGAUGAGGCUGUCAUUGAGAACAGUUCGUAUGAUUAUUCAUAUAUGGAUAUAUACACAUACAUGAACUGACACAUAAUUAAAUGUAGCUCAACUUCAGAUGUAUAAUUUCCGUCUGUUAAAAAUCAAGCAACAAGCUAAUACUCUGGUCUAGCACUUCUGUAGAAUGAUAAAAGCUUAUCACUUAACACUGAUGACUGCAUUAAUAGAGCAGAUCAUUAAUUCCCCUGCAAACCAUGCCAAAUUCUACAACUAAGAGAUAUACCUAAGAGAUAACAUAGAUUUCACAAGAGAGACCACAUCAAUCCUUGGAACCGUCCUUCUUGCUCCACUAGUUACGAAGUUUUCAGAUAUCGUAAUACUUUACUUAACAUUAAACAAGUGAACAAUCUUGCUGAAUUUAUAUGGACUUAAAAACCAAGCAAGUGCAAGUCUACAGAAUGGAGACCAGCACUAUACAAAUUACCUUCAAACCUAACUAACAUACGUGGCACAGUUUGCGUCUUGCAGCUUGCCUCAAUUUAUCUAACUUAAUAUCAUUCACUUGCCACCUUUCACAACAUUUGUAAGUUGCUCUCCCUGAUGUUAACAUAUGUUACAUUGGACCGACAACAAACAACAUAAUUUUUCAUUUAAUUAUUAGAUGAUAUGUUGUUCUCAGAAUAUAGUUGGGUGUUGUAUGCCAAGUGCCAACAGCAAAUAAUACAGGUUCUUCCUGUUCUGACAGAAACCAAAUCAGAGCAUCAUCUUAUUUGUUAACCCAGAUUCCAUUAAAAAAAAAGUAUUCAUGUUAACUAUUAGUCGGACAAAAUAUUCACUCCAUAACUAUUUCACAUCUUCCCAACUUUUCACUCGCUCCUUAAAACUCAACUGGCUAAGAUCAAGAUUGAUUGAGGACGUGACUUGAGAAUCUGAACUGUUUAGCAAUUUUAUUACUGCUUUUUAUUAAGCAGACUGUUUUGUUUUAAUUAAUUGUGAAAUUGAAGAACUGCUUAGGCAGAUACUGCUGCUUAACACUUCAGACAUGGGACCAUAGCCUAACACUUGCUGUUAUGAGGUCUCCCGAUGUUUAUUAUAGGGUUUUAAGGCUUUAAUAGUAAAUAGGCAUUUUUUUUCCCUAUAGGCUUCAGUCUUCCAGAGUGCACUUCCCAGUUUAAUUAGCUUGCUUUGUAUGGAUGUUCCUAUAUAGAUGGUAAGAAGUUUGAACCAUACCUUGGACCAUAUUAAAAACACAACUGUCAAUUUGAUCUUGCUGCUUCAGAGAAACUACACGCACUAUUAUUAACACAGGUGGCAGGUGUGGUACUCUUUGCCUUGUUUUCUUCCAAGCUACCUUUCCACCUCUAGCUUUUACAUUUGAGAUACGUUUGAAUUAAUAUCGCUGUCAUUUGCUACCCUGGAAAACUCCCAUAGCCUCAAGAAUACCAAGAAAAUAAAACAGCUGCAAUAUAUGAAGUAUUGAAAUACAGAUCUCAUAUUGCAAAACAAAGAAGGAGCUUUUGUCACAGUGUGGGUGAUUUUAUCAAGGAUAUGCUUAGCCAUGACUGCUGUUGGAAACUGAUGAAAUAAUGGAUCAAUAGAAAUCUCAUGUUGCGAACUACUAAGUGCCUAUUUAUCAAUCAUACUAAGAAAGUUAUUCUGAAAAAAAGCAAUAUUCAAGAGUGGAGGUAGCAGAAGAAAGAGUGGAGGACUGGAUAUAUGAGACAAGUUUUUCAGAAGAUGAUAGGUGUGAAACUAUUUAAAGACAGGUUAGAAGAUAAAAAUAUGUAAUAGCACCUGGUAGUGGCUAGCCUCAAAAAGUGGGAUAAGGACACUGCAGAAGGCAAACACAGCAGAACACAAGUCAUGCAGUCAUGCAAACAAUAAAGGUCAGCAUGGCCUAAACAGAUGGACAUUGUACUUUAAGAAAGCCAGGCUAUAUCAGAUAGACAGUUCAGGGCCUGGGGGGGGGGGGUGUACAAUCAGCCAAAGCUUGGGAGGGAUGGGGAGGGAUGAAGACUUGUAAAGAAAUGCACAGCAAUAUCAUAGUGCUUUUGACCUCUGCACAGAUAUUGAAAGUAGCAGCAAAAUUGUACUUUAAAGAUUCAGUAAACUUGACAACUUGUAGAAAUUUUCAUUUUUGUAAUGAUUUGAAUACAGUAGGUUUACUUUGAUGAAGAAACUACCUCUUUUUAGGUUCUCAUAUUUACCUACUGCCAAAGUACCUAAGAUUUUUUAAAAAAUGAGAUUUUUUACAAACAUUUAUCUUAUAAACCAAGAUUAAUUUAUUAAUGCUGUGUAGUUCUGCUGUAUAUUUUCCUGAGGAUCAGAAAUACUUCAAAUAGUUUAUGGUAUUUUUUCCCAAAACACCUGUGUACGGCAGAUAUUUUAAAGCAUGGAGAUCACUGGUUUGUCCAAGGUCUCAGAACAGGUGCUAGAGAACGGGAUUCAAUAGUCCUGACUCUAGUGCUCUAGAAAAUGUGAACAAUUUAUGUUUUGAAACUCUGUCUUUUACAGCAAAACAUAAACUUGCCCCAAAAUGCCUCAUAAUACCAAGGAUGGGGUGAGGAAGCAAGAAAGAAAAGUGUAUGUGGUGAUUCACAAUGAAGAAACAGAGAUUACUUCCCUUCAAACUGCAGCUUCAGCUCUGCCACACCAGGCAGACAUAUCUGAAAAAAAAAAUGGAAAUACUUGAUAAGUGGGCUGACUUACGUGCACACUCAUACUACAACAACAGAAGCACAACAUUCAAAUGUAUUCAAAUUAAACGUAGGCAAAUGAAUGAAAACCUUUUUUAGACUAAAAAUAGAUACAUUGAUUCUAACCGCA